CAGUGAAGGUCAGUGUGGGGAACAGCCCUGGUUUUCAGCCCUGUGAUGUGAGUGACAGAACAAGACUCAUUGUCCCUGCCUCUCCAGAACGUGAGCAGUUUUUACACUGUGAAAUUGGAUGUAACUUCUGUUCUUCUCUUGUGCAUUUGGAGACAUCUUGGUAUGUGCUAGUAUAUCUGCAUCAAGCAAGAAAAAUGGGAGCACUGGGGAUAUUUUCGGCCUUCAUGUUUGAAUAAGAAGUCAGAUGAAUUGCCAGGCAUAUGUAUGUGGAUUAUGGAUACAGAAGAAAAUUCCCAUUGUAUAAAGAAGAAUAUAUGCUGAGCACUGAAGCAGAGAAAAUGAGAGGUGUUUCUACCAAAUGAAAUAAAUAAAGUAACCAUACACCUCUAAGAAACUUGUAGGUGUUUGAGACCUUGUGAUAAAGCUACCACAUUAAGGCAGAAUCAUUGAAUCCUUAGAGUUGGAAGGGAUCUCUGAAGGCCAUAUAGUCCAAUUCCCCUGCAAUGACCAGGGAUACCACAGCCACAUCAGAUUGCCCAGGGCCUGAUCCAGCCUCGCCUGGAAAGUCUCCAGGGAUUGGGUAUCAACGACAACACUAGAUGCUAUAAAACGUCAGUGUUACAGAAACAAAAGUUUGAAAUCUGUAACAUCCCACACAUGAAAGGAGGAAAAGUGACAAGAUUUGCAAAUCCCCCAUGAGGUUAAGGUGAAAUGACACUCAAGUGCCAGUCUGAGAAACAUUUCAUCCACUUCUGACUUAGUGUCAUCUCAAACCAGCGUUGGCUUCUGUGACCAGGUGGAGCAGUUAAGCAAAGAUCUGUAUCUCCUUGGGAACUGGAAGAAGUGUACAGUAGUAAUCACAUUUUCCUUUGCACAUUGUUUUGUUGCUUUUUUGUUUGUUUUUGGUGCAAAUUCAACAGAUUUUACAAAUGCUAAUAUCUUAACACAAUCACUCUAAACUUCACGAGUGCUGCAGUCACCUUCUUUUUAACUCUGCUACCAAUUACAUUGAUAGGGACGUUUCCUAUUUGCAAAAUCAGAAGCAAAUGCCAUCAAAUUGCUCUGUGAAUGCAUAUUGACCUCCCUUUUUAAGACUGAUAAUGAGAGGAUAUGUUUUUAUCAUCAGAUUACAGAGCAAAUAAUAAAAAUGCCGAAGAAAUUAUAAGAAAAAAAACACUCAUAUUCAUAAAUACAUCUAUGUAUGAUAUUAUAAUUUUUCUUACUCUGUUUUUCUAAUAGUAAUUCAAUACUAGAAACAAAGAAAUAUAGUUGUGAGAGUGUGAUGAAAGACUUUCUCAUUUUUCUCAUUUUUCUAAGAGACUGUGGUUAAUAUAUUCAGGUUUGGCUUUCCUAAGACCUGGUAGGCUUCAAGCACUUUGUUCCCUGAAUUUCAUUAUUCUGUUUCUGGCUUAAAUAUAGAGGAUGACAAACAAGGAGUUCUAGGCAUGCAUAUAGGCAAUCAGAGGGAAAUCCAUACUUUUUAAUCAUUGCAGAAUGGAUUUGUAUGAGUAAUUACUCUAUUAACUAUUAACACUGUGGAUGAUAUAUUCAGAGCUAAACAAUUAGUAGAAGUUUGUUUGAAAAUAUUGUGUAAACCAUUAUGCAAAAUAACUGGAUUUUUCCUUUGUAAAUAACUUGAAAUUUACAUUUUGGUCACCGUCUUUUGUGAAUAAUUACUUGAAAGACAAUUCAGAUUUGUAGAGCUAUUGUAAAUUUGUUUGUUUGUUUGUUUUGUUCUGUUCUGUUUUGUUUUUUUUAAAUUGUAUUUACUUUUUUCACAUUGUGUAUGGCAGAAUGAGGAAAGACAGAGUCAUGAGCUGGAUAAGAAAGCUUCAUCUGACAAUCAGAAAAUAGCCAACAGAUGGAGAUAACUAAAGGGUGAUUUCACUUUUGUGGAUCAUUUGAUUUAAUGAAAGAACACAAGGAGGAUUACUCUGAUGACAUCUUGAUAUAGUGUGUUAAAGAGGCAAGGGAUGGACAUCAACAUGACCAUCCCCAAAUAAAUGAGUGGAUCAUUACAAAUUCCCAGCACUUCUGUACACCUUCACUUGGAAAGAACAGAAGGAUUGAGAGAGAACUCACAAACUCUGCAGAGAGCAUGAACACUCAGUGGUGUUGUUUUGUACAGCAGAAGGGCUUGAAACUGCCAGCAGCUGCACACAUGCAUGGUUACAAAAUACACCGAUACCUGUUCAUCACUAAUAGGAAGUGAGCAUAUAUAUAUUUGGAAAAGGUAGAGUUUGGUUUGAUCAAUUGUCAAAGCAUCAUGACCAGAAAGAGCCAAACCACUUUUGCUUGAAAGCUAGUAGUAUUUAUGGUAAAAGUAUUUCUCUUUUUCCCUUUGCCAAAUAUGUUGGAUUCAGGCUUAUUUAAGGAGGCUCCAAUUUGCUACCUUAAUGUGACUGAGACUAUCAGUUUAAAAAAUUGAAAAAUAUUAAUGUUGGAUUCAAUGACUAAAGGAAAUUAUAUUUUUACAUUUAUGUACUAAAUAAACAUUGUUUAUAUAAUACAUCUCUUAUUAAAAAACACUGAGGAGCACAUUCAUUAAAGAAGUAUCCACUGCUUAUUAUUCACAUGGAAUCAGUUUUAACUGAUUUUAUCA
Molecule: long non-coding RNA, 2602 nt
Organism: Gallus gallus (chicken)
Lineage: Eukaryota; Metazoa; Chordata; Aves; Galliformes; Phasianidae
Source: Ensembl